GGGAACUCACCCAGGAGAGGGAAGCCUGCUAGUGUGGACCCCUCAGCCUGCGGUGUUUGAUUUUACAUAUACAACAAAUAACCAGGAAAAGGUCAAGAAAACCGGUUACUUGGGCUGUUAUAUCCAAAACUGACUACUGAAUGUCUCAGUAAUGUUGUUAUCUAUGAACCCAGAACUUUCCAGUCUGGAGCUGCAGUCUAAGCAGCACCAAGAGACCUGCUCCAGUUGUCUAGGGAUCACUUGCUGAUGUCAUGCAACCAUCUGCCCUAUAUCAGAUGCUCUGGAGAAGCGGUGAUGCUAUUACUAACCACUCCACAGACCUCUUUAUUUCAAAGAGAACCAAGCAGAGAUUCUGGGCUGACUUUGGAAUUGUUCAUUAGUUUUCAAGCUUUCUUAAAGAGCAGUUUGGCCCUGUAACAGCUAGAAAAGUCAAAAGCAAAGUUUUUGAUUAGCUUAGCCCUUCACUUGAAGCCAGUGGGAGAGAUGGGCUCGCUUUCUUUGUAACAGCAAAACACUGAGAAACUGAAACUUUUACACAUGAGUUUAGGUCUGUUUUUGAUGUUUUCUACACAAGUGUGUUAUAUUCUUAUUAGAAAAUUCCUAGAAGAGUUCAGAAGAGACUGAAGAUGUGGAAAAAAGCCACUGAGAAAGAAGCCUGACCUCCAGAGAAAAUCACUGUUGAAUUUUCGUGUCUUUAGUCUACGUUUGCACGGUGUUCCCAAAAUGGGCACCCUGCAAAUACCGUUUUGAAGCUUCCUGUUUAACACUCAGCAUCAAACUAUGGCUACUUUUUCAUAGUAACAAUUCUUCAGUAACAUAAUUCCCACCACCUCUCUAACAUAGCAUUGUAUAGAAUAAUAAUAUAACAGUUUAAAGUCA
Molecule: long non-coding RNA, 879 nt
Organism: Microtus oregoni (creeping vole)
Lineage: Eukaryota; Metazoa; Chordata; Mammalia; Rodentia; Cricetidae
Exons: 3
Source: RefSeq, a predicted model, not a curated record